AUAUAUAGAUAAUUAUACAUUAUUAUUAUUGUAAUUAGUAAUGUUAUUAUUAUUAGUAUGGCUAGUCAUAUAUGUGUGAGUGCAUUAUUGAAUUAGAAAUAAGCUAUUUACACUUAGGCAUAUUGUUGUGAUAUGUAUGGAGAGAAGUUGACCAAUUCCACAUAAACUACAUGUAGGUUUAUAUAUGUUUAUUGUGUGCUUGGCUGAAGCUUUGGAGUGGUCUUAUACAUGUGGCAUUAAGUGAGAUUAUAGUGGAAUAAGAUGAAUACAUAGGCGUGACACAUGGUUUGUUGGGAUACAUUUGAGGAAUAGUUAGAGAAAUAAUAGCAUAAACAUUUGAAUUUCUGGUAGCCGAAGUGAAGUCCAAGAAUAUUACCAUUUGAAUUGCCUUUAGCUUUUCUCUCUCCACUUUUGACUAAAUCCAAAACAAUAUUUCCCAUGAAACGUAUAUAGGGCUUUCAAAUUGAAUUAGUCAAGUAUUAUGAUGAUUAGUUAAAUAGUUUUAUUAUAGCUUAACUCAAGGGUGGAGUAGGGUUAAACCAACAAGAGUUAAGUCCAAUCAAAGUCUAUAAAUAAGAGGCAUUUUUCCUUUUAAUCUCACAAACACAUCCAAGCAUACAUUGUAUCUCGUAGCUCACUUCAUCACUCUCUCUAAGUUUCAAAACCAAUAUCACCAAUUCAUCACUCUCAAAGAAUAAUAAUUCUAAACCCUUUACUCAUCCUAGGCCGAAGCCCACCAUCACCAACAUCUCUAAGUUCUUACCUUCAACAAACUUUUCCUCUUUCUCUCAUUGUUGUGUUUCUCUUCAAAACAAUAUAGCCAUAGUCCCGUAGCUACACGAUAGCACCAUCACUACAUCACCACCAUCCCCAUACAUAUAUACAUCUCCUUCAUUAUAUCGACAUCAGUAUCACCAUUAUUUUUACAUUCAAGUUUUAGUGCUCAACUAGAUCUCAUUUGAAGCUAAUUAAGGUUUCAUAAGAAAAUUAUUGUUUCUCAAGGAUCACUCUCAUUACAAUCAAGGCUAGAACUCCACAUUCGAGACCAAGGUAACUGAAAGUUUAGAAAGCCGGUGGCGAGUGGAACUUUGGAUGCUUGUGUGUGUGAACUCGCUGAGGGCCAUAUAACUGCGGGCGGUCUAGGGCGCUCUGUUUAUUUAUUUAUGUUAUUAAACUUAUGUCGCAAUUAUUUUAGUUAUUAAUUAUUAUGUUU
Molecule: long non-coding RNA, 1213 nt
Organism: Cannabis sativa
Lineage: Eukaryota; Viridiplantae; Streptophyta; Magnoliopsida; Rosales; Cannabaceae
Exons: 3
Source: RefSeq, a predicted model, not a curated record